UACAUGGGGUGCAAACGUUGCUCGGAAUUAUUGGGCGUAAAGCGCGCGUAGGCGGUUAUUCAAGUCGGAUGUGAAAGCCCUCGGCUUAACUGAGGAAGUGCGCCCGAAACUGAGUAGCUAGAGUACCAAAGAGGGUCGCGGAAUUCCCGGUGUAGAGGUGAAAUUCGUAGAUAUUCGCAAGAACACCAGUGGCGAAGGCGGCUCACUGGCCCGAUACUGACGCUGAGGCACGAAAGCGUGGGGAGCAAACAGG
RNAcentral lists this ribosomal RNA (253 nucleotides) under uncultured bacterium. Its description in RNAcentral is "partial 16S ribosomal RNA". It matches the Rfam family "Bacterial small subunit ribosomal RNA", at positions 524 to 776 of the family's 1533-position model. The record is from RNAcentral.